Phascolarctos cinereus (koala) is the source of this 1666-nucleotide non-coding RNA. NCBI's taxonomy places the organism in Eukaryota, Metazoa, Chordata, Mammalia, Diprotodontia, Phascolarctidae. The record is from RefSeq and is a predicted model, not a curated record.
GACUAAUUUGUGCCCUCUUAUCUGCAUCCCCCAAGAAGAAUGCAGGCUGCCAGAGGGCAGGGAUGUUCACUUUUUGCCCAUGGCUCCCCAGCUCCCAGAGCAUAUUAAGUACUUAAUAAAUGUUCUCAGUAUUUGACUUUGAAUGAAUGGGCACAGCCAGAGAUAUCUACCUAAGUGAUGUGAGGGGAAAAGAAGGUGGGAAGAGAUUAAAUGUAGUUUCGUUAGGUAUUGGAUAAAAGUCUUCACACCAAAGGGGCCAAAGGAAAUUCCUUAUUUUAGAAGUUCAAGAUAAAGACAGUCUACAGGCCUUUUCUCCUAAGGAGUUGUCCACAUCAAGACAUAGCGUUCACAUUCUUGAACUAUAUUCUAACCAUCAUUUCAAGUUAAGCACCUAUAAAAGCAUUUUUCUAAGGCAUCUUUGUUUCACAUCUCUCCAAUAUGGGGCAUGCUGCCAACCAUUCACACCAGGAGCCAAAGGGUUUCAGAGCAUUCCCAACUCUAAGAAAUGAGGUCAGUGCCUCUCUUGGGGGCAAUAAUCAUGUUCUGCCUCGCAGUACAGUUCCACUGUGCAUCUGUCUUAACUCCUCAUUCAACUUCUUAUCUCCCCAUUCAACUAUUUAUUCCUUCUGGGUAGGGGGGCCUUGGCUUAGCCCCAGUUUCUGUAUCCACCACAGGGACUUCUGCAAAAACACUAGGCUUCAACAAAAUGUUUGCUGAAUUGACUGGGAUUGUGUAAUGAGUAUUUGAAGAUUAAUCAAUCAGCUGUCCUUGUUGAAAGGGUAUAUCUCUUCCAAGAGCCUCUCAUUCUGACAGACAAGGAGACUCAAGCCUUUCUUUAGUUUUCUGAAGCCACUUGUCCAAGAUGCUACCACAGGCAGAUGCUCUAACCAAGAAAGCACACUGGAUUUCGACCUAGGAGGCAGGCUCUGCCACUUACUACUCCUGUGACCAUGGGUAAAUCAUGUCAGUCUCUGGACCUUAGCUCCCUUAUCUAUAAAAUGAGAAGACUGGAGUAAAUGGCUGAAGGAUCCUAUGACUCUAAGUUCAGGAUUCUGUGGCCUGUGCUUCUUGAAACAAGAUUUUAGAGAGGGUCUGCUAUGGGGUGUCAGUUAAUGGUCACAAGACCUGCUGGAAUUUCUGCAUCUCUGCCUGCUACAGAGAACCCAUGAGAAAAGCAUUGGGACCAUGGGAAAUAUAAGAGAUAGGCUGGUUGGGGCCACUCUAAAGACAGCCAGAGGGAAGGGAUGAUAGCCUUCUUUCUCCGGACAGACCCCAUCGUUAAGAGCUGCAAUAAGCUAUGGCACAAACUCCCUUUAGAGAGCUACAGCUGAAUCUGCUAUUGCUGGAUGACCACUGAGCGAGUGACCAUGGAGAGCAAUGUCGCAUGGCAUUGAUGCCUCAGAAAUUGACAGAUUAGACUACAGAAUGUCAGGGCUACCCAGGGCCUUGGAAGGCACCCAGUCCUGCUGUUCAUUUUACAGACAGGAAACUGAGCCCCAGAGAGGGGAACAGCCUAGUCUAAAGAUAUUACCCAGCAAGAAGGGGGCAGAGCCAGGAUUAGAACCUGUAUCAUCUGACUCCCAAUGCUCUAGUUUUUCCAUGAUACUAUACUUUCUCCCAAGCUGGCUCUGGACAGUUUUUUUUCAAUGUCACAUAUAUGAAUACA